RNAcentral lists this ribosomal RNA (422 nucleotides) under uncultured bacterium. Its description in RNAcentral is "bacterial SSU rRNA". It matches the Rfam family "Bacterial small subunit ribosomal RNA", at positions 362 to 776 of the family's 1533-position model. The record is from RNAcentral.
UCUUCCUCAAUGGGCGAAAGCCUGACGGAGCAAUGCCGCGUGAGUGAAGAAGGCCUUCGGGUCGUAAAACUCUGUUAUAAGAGAAGAACAAAUUGUAGAGUAACUGCUACAGUCUUGACGGUAUCUUAUCAGAAAGCCACGGCUAACUACGUGCCAGCAGCCGCGGUAAUACGUAGGUGGCAAGCGUUGUCCGGAUUUAUUGGGCGUAAAGGGAGCGCAGGUGGUUUCUUAAGUCUGAUGUGAAAGCCCACGGCUUAACCGUGGAGGGUCAUUGGAAACUGGGAAACUUGAGUACAGAAGAGGAAUGUGGAACUCCAUGUGUAGCGGUGGAAUGCGUAGAUAUAUGGAAGAACACCAGUGGCGAAGGCGACAUUCUGGUCUGUUACUGACACUGAGGCUCGAAAGCGUGGGGAGCAAACAGG